RNAcentral lists this ribosomal RNA (1560 nucleotides) under Thryonomys swinderianus (greater cane rat). RNAcentral's name for it is "16S ribosomal RNA". It matches the Rfam family "Bacterial large subunit ribosomal RNA". The record is from RNAcentral. Lineage: Eukaryota; Metazoa; Chordata; Mammalia; Rodentia; Thryonomyidae.
ACUAAAACUAGCCUAACUUUUAAACAACACAACUAAACACGAACUAACAAUUAAAGCAUUCACCAUUAUUAAAGUAUAGGAGAUAGAAAUAUACCUUUAGAGCUAUAGAGAAAGUACCGCAAGGGAAAGAUGAAUGAACAAAUAAACAAGUAAAAAAAAGCAUAGACUAUAUCUAGUACCUUUUGCAUAAUGAACUAACUAGAAAUACAUUAGCAAAGAGAACUUUAGUUAAUAACCCCGAAACCAAGUGAGCUACCUGCUGACAGCUAACAGAGCCAACUCGUCUAUGUAGCAAAAUAGUGAGAAGAUCAACAGGUAGAGGUGAAAAGCCAACCGAACUUGGUGAUAGCUGGUUGUCCAAACAAGAAUAUUAGUUCAACUUUAAGCUUUUCCCAAAAAAACCAAAAAUUGCAUGAAAACUUAAAUGUUAGUCUAUAGAGGGACAGCUCUAUAGAAAAGGCUACAACCUUAAACAGAGGGUAAACAAAAUAAACGUCCAUAGUAGGCCUAAAAGCAGCCACCAAUUAAGAAAGCGUUAAAGCUCAAAACCUUAAAAUAAAAAAUACCAAAAAUAUAUAUAUGAUCCCCUGUACAUCAAUUGGACUAAUCUAUAUUACAUAUAUAGAAGAGAUAAUGUUAGUAUUAGUAACAAGAAAUAUUUCUCCUUGCAUAAGUUUAUAUCUUCCCGGACCCUCCACUGAUAAUUAACAACCUAAUAAUACUAACCAUACAUUAAUUACUUAUUAUACAAAUUGUUAAUCCAACACAGGCAUGCAUUAAGGAAAGACAGAAAAAAGCAAAAGGAACUCGGCAAACACAAAUCCCGCCUGUUUACCAAAAACAUCACCUCUAGCAUUCCAAAUAUUAGAGGCACUGCCUGCCCGGUGACUUAAAAGUUAAACGGCCGCGGUAUCCUGACCGUGCAAAGGUAGCAUAAUCACUUGUUCUUUAAAUAAGGACCUGUAUGAAUGGCUAGACGAGGGUUUUACUGUCUCUUGCUUUCAGUCAGUGAAAUUGACCUUCCCGUGAAGAGGCGGGAAUAACAUAAUAAGACGAGAAGACCCUAUGGAGCUUUAAUACCACUAUGCAUAUUUUAACAACAAUAAUAAAAACAAACAAAUAAUGUAUAGAGUAUUUCGGUUGGGGUGACCUCGGAGAACAGAAAAACCUCCGAAUGAUAUUAAGUUAGAUCUACAAAUCAAUCCUCCUAUCAUAUUAUUGACCCAAUAAACUUGAACAAUGAACCAAGUUACCCUAGGGAUAACAGCGCAAUCCUAUUUAAGAGUCCAUAUCGACAAUAGGGUUUACGACCUCGAUGUUGGAUCAGGACAUCCCAAUGGUGCAGCCGCUAUUAAAGGUUCGUUUGUUCAACGAUUAAAGUCCUACGUGAUCUGAGUUCAGACCGGAGUAAUCCAGGUCGGUUUCUAUCUAUUUAUAAGUUUCUCCCAGUACGAAAGGACAAGAGAAACAGGGCCAAUUAUCCAGUAACGCCCUACAAAUAAAAAAUUCAUCAAUCUUAAUUUUGUAAUUAAUUAAAACACUUACCCUAGAAAAGGGUUU